AUUGAACGCUGGCGGCAGGCCUAACACACGCAAGUCGAGCGGAUGAAGGGAGCUUGCUCCUGGAUUCAGCGGCGGACGGGUGAGUAAUGCCUAGGAAUCUGCCUGGUAGUGGGGGAUAACGUCCGGAAACGGGCGCUAAUACCGCAUACGUCCUGAGGGAGAAAGUGGGGGAUCUUCGGACCUCACGCUAUCAGAUGAGCCUAGGUCGGAUUAGCUAGUUGGUGGGGUAAAGGCCUACCAAGGCGACGAUCCGUAACUGGUCUGAGAGGAUGAUCAGUCACACUGGAACUGAGACACGGUCCAGACUCCUACGGGAGGCAGCAGUGGGGAAUAUUGGACAAUGGGCGAAAGCCUGAUCCAGCCAUGCCGCGUGUGUGAAGAAGGUCUUCGGAUUGUAAAGCACCUUAAGUUGGGAGGAAGGGCAGUAAGUUAAUACCUUGCUGUUUUGACGUUACCAACAGAAUAAGCACCGGCUAACUUCGUG
RNAcentral lists this ribosomal RNA (484 nucleotides) under uncultured bacterium. RNAcentral describes it as "partial 16S ribosomal RNA". It matches the Rfam family "Bacterial small subunit ribosomal RNA", at positions 30 to 507 of the family's 1533-position model. The record is from RNAcentral.